AUUGAACGCUGGCGGAAUGCUUUACACAUGCAAGUCGAACGGCAGCACGGACUUCGGUCUGGUGGCGAGUGGCGAACGGGUGAGUAAUGUAUCGGAACGUGCCCAGUCGUGGGGGAUAACGUAGUGAAAAUUACGCUAAUACCGCAUACGAUCUAUGGAUGAAAGCGGGGGAUCGCAAGACCUCGCGCGAUUGGAGCGGCCGAUAUCAGAUUAGGUAGUUGGUGGGGUAAAGGCCCACCAAGCCAACGAUCUGGAGCUGGUCUGAGAGGACGACCAGCCAAACGGGAACUGAGACACGGUCCAGACUCCUACGGGAGGCAGCAGUAGGGAAUUUUGGACAAUGGGCGAAAGCCUGAUCCAGCCAUUCCGCGUGCAGGAUGAAGGCCCUCGGGUUGUAAACUGCUUUUGUACAGAACGAAAAGGUUUCUACUAAUACUAGGAGCUCAUGACGGUACUGUAAGAAUAAGCACCGGCUAACUACGUGCCAGCAGCCGCGGUAA
RNAcentral lists this ribosomal RNA (500 nucleotides) under uncultured bacterium. RNAcentral describes it as "partial 16S ribosomal RNA". It matches the Rfam family "Bacterial small subunit ribosomal RNA", at positions 30 to 523 of the family's 1533-position model. The record is from RNAcentral.